GCCUAUAACCAAAUAACCUUGAAUGCAGCUGAUCUUUUCAGAUCUAGGAAGCUAAGCUAGUUUCAGCCUGGAUAGCACGUAUUUGGAUGAGUGACCAUCAUAUAUGACAGCUGUUAUAGCCU
Molecule: ribosomal RNA, 122 nt
Filed under: Petromyzon marinus (sea lamprey)
Lineage: Eukaryota; Metazoa; Chordata; Hyperoartia; Petromyzontiformes; Petromyzontidae
Source: RNAcentral